UACGGGGGGGGCAAGCGUUGUUCGGAAUUACUGGGCGUAAAGGGCUCGUAGGCGGCCAACUAAGUCAUACGUGAAAUCCCUCGGCUUAACCGGGGAACUGCGUCUGAUACUGGAUGGCUUGAGUUCGGGAGAGGGAUGCGGAAUUCCAGGUGUAGCGGUGAAAUGCGUAGAUAUCUGGAGGAACACCGGUGGCGAAGGCGGCAUCCUGGACCAAUUCUGACGCUGAGGAGCGAAAGCCAGGGGAGCAAACGGG
This 253-nucleotide ribosomal RNA is filed under the name uncultured bacterium. RNAcentral describes it as "partial 16S ribosomal RNA". It matches the Rfam family "Bacterial small subunit ribosomal RNA", at positions 524 to 776 of the family's 1533-position model. The record is from RNAcentral.